GAUGAAGAACGCAGCGAAAUGCGAUAAGUAAUGUGAAUUGCAGAAUUCAGUGAAUCAUCGAAUCUUUGAACGCACAUUGCGCCCGUCAGUAUUCUGGCGGGCAUGCCUGUUCGAGCGUCAUUACGCCCCCCAAGUCCCCUGUGGACUUGGUGUUGGGGAUCGGCGAGGCUGGUUUUCCAGCACAGCCGUCCCUUAAAUUAAUUGGCGGUCUCGCCGUGGCCCUCCUCUGCGCAGUAGUAAAACACUCGCAACAGGAGCCCGGCGCGGUCCACUGCCGUAAAACCCCCCAACUUUUUAUAGUUGACCUCGAAUCAGGUAGGACUACCCGCUGAACUUAAGCAUAUCAAUAAGCGGAGGA
This 358-nucleotide unclassified non-coding RNA is filed under the name soil metagenome. RNAcentral describes it as "partial contains 5.8S ribosomal RNA, internal transcribed spacer 2, and large subunit ribosomal RNA". The stretch from base 1 to 120 matches the Rfam family "5.8S ribosomal RNA", at positions 35 to 154 of the family's 154-position model. The record is from RNAcentral.